This 376-nucleotide ribosomal RNA is filed under the name uncultured bacterium. RNAcentral's name for it is "bacterial SSU rRNA". It matches the Rfam family "Bacterial small subunit ribosomal RNA", at positions 117 to 506 of the family's 1533-position model. The record is from RNAcentral.
GUGAGGAAUUUGCCCAUCAUUUGGGGAUAACACCGGGAAUCCGGUGCUAAUACCGAAUAAUACCGUCUUGGCGGCAUCGGUAAGCCGGGAAAGAAUUUCGAUGAUGGAUGAUCUCGCGUCCUAUCAGCUAGUUGGUGAGGUAACGGCUCACCAAGGCAACGACGGGUAGCCGGCCUGAGAGGGCGACCGGCCACACUGGGACUGAGACACGGCCCAGACUCUUACGGGAGGCAGCAGUAGGGAAUAUUGGGCAAUGGGCGCAAGCCUGACCCAGCGACGCCGCGUGAGGGAUGAAGGUAUUCGGAUUGUAAACCUCUUUCAGUAGGGAAGAAGCGAAAGUGACGGUACCUAAAGAAGAAGCACCGGCUAACUAUGU